This 1443-nucleotide long non-coding RNA is filed under the name Homo sapiens (human). Its description in RNAcentral is "HSALNT0407305". Lineage: Eukaryota; Metazoa; Chordata; Mammalia; Primates; Hominidae. The record is from RNAcentral.
CCAUUCCCCUGGCUCAGCCUAUCGAGUAGCUGGGACUACAGGUUCCACUUCCCACAACACCUCUGCCACCAACCAAUUGAGGGUCUUCAGGAGAAGUGUUCUUAUCUGUGCAAUAGAGCCUGCCAGAAGGGGCACCUGGCAACCCUCUUCAGAGGCUUGAUCCUGUGCUGCAGAAACCUAUGGACCUGCUCAACCUGUGCACUGGAAUUCCAGGGAUAGACUGAGCUGUCCCUAGGAGGCUGGGAGCAUUCUCCAGCAGAGACCAGCAACUGCCUCCUGCCUGGAGAAUCUGGAAGGAGGAAGGGCGGCUGGAAUCACCUGUGAUGGCAAGUGAGGGAGAGAGGGCAGACAAAGGUAGCAAAACUGCACUCCUAGGACUUGGAAUGGCAAGGACUCCAGUGUGUCAGAGAAGACAGGAAGACCAAGAAACAGCCAAGGAGAGGGGCUGAGGAAUGAGAGAUGGAGGAGACAACAGAUUGUCCUUCCCAUUGCCAAACCUUAGGCCGGGCCUGAGGGGAUCAGACUGGGCAAUUGAAUCCUCAAAGGUUCCUGGAAGGACUACUUAGGAAUUGAAUGUGCUGAGACUUCCUCUCAAAGGAGCCCCUCCUUCUUAAAUGAAUCCAGGAGAGAAGUUCUGAAGACUGUGGUCUAUGCUAAAGGAAUGCAGAUAUUUAUAAAUGGUCAUCUGCAUUGAAUGAACCAAGUCCAAAUGACAAUCAAGGAGAACUGUAAACAUAGGAAAAGAGGGCUGAACCCAUGCUUCCAGGGAAGGAAGAAGAGAGAGAGAAAGAGAAGAGAAGAGAGAGAGAGAGAGACUGACUUCUGGAAUCAAUCAAGGGAAGUCUGGAAAUGGUGGAUGAAUGGAACAGAAAUCCCCAAGCCAAGUGUGAACAGGUGACAGGCCUCUCUAGGGCCAAGGGGCUAGACUCUGUAGCCAAGCAUUGAGCACCAAAUGUGAACAUGAUAGAGUUGUCAGUCAGAAGAAACUGCUUGCCUAUUGUCUAGUAAGCUGCACCUUGAACAACCAGCUGGAGUGGUGGUUCUGGAGUAGCUGCCUCUUCUGGUCUGGAAUGCAUAUAAACACCACGAAAAAGGCCCAGAGCUGGGCUGGCAAGGGGUCUUUCCCUGGGGAGAGCAGACCACCCACACCUUUUGGGAGACUACUUUAGGCUCAUCCAGGAGGCCUUUUGAUGUGUCUGUUAUACUGAAGAUAGUGUUUUGAGGUCCCCAAUCUUUCUUUAUGUUGUUGGCUGUCAUAUAAAAAACAAACAUCAGGAGAGAGAACAACUGUUUUAACUCAAGUAAUAGCUUAAGACUAAAAAUGAAAUAAAUUCAGGGUUAUUAACAAGAAUCUAUCAGAUCUUCUGCUAAAAGAGAAAAAAAGAGAGAGAGAGAAAGAGAAGGAGAAGGGGAAAGUGGGGGAAGGGAGAGAAGAAGAGAGGG